RNAcentral lists this long non-coding RNA (606 nucleotides) under Sus scrofa (pig). RNAcentral's name for it is "lncRNA (ENSSSCG00035007725.1, ENSSSCG00070028994.1)". Lineage: Eukaryota; Metazoa; Chordata; Mammalia; Artiodactyla; Suidae. The record is from RNAcentral.
UAUAAUGUGACAAUAUUGUAGAGAUUUACUUCUCUAAGGUUCAUUUGCCCUUCUUCUGGCAAUGGUCCUGAUAUUUCCCUUCCCAGCUUUAGCUCACACUAGCCUUAGAGGAUGAAAUAUGUGACCAGGUCUAAAGUCAAGCGGUGUUUCACGUUCCCAUGACCACAAUUACUGAUUCAGUGGUUGGUACAAUCAGAACAAAUAUCAGGACUUACUGGAAAUACUGAAACAAAGACUAAUCUCUCCUUCCUUUGACAGGGUAGGUGGGACUAGAACUAAAGCAGGCAUCUUGAAAUCAUGAGGACAAGGAAGCACUAUGGAAGCUCAGAACCAGGAGAGCCCAUUGAUGCCUGCACUAGAAGAUAAAGCAGAGCGGUUUAGAAUGAAGGUGACGGAGAAGAGCCAAGUGAAGAGCAAUGCCUACAGUCUCACCUCAAACCUACUGAAUCAGAGCUUCAAGGCCAAGGUCAGAAUAUCUGCAUUUUUGUUGUUGUUGCAUCUUCACUGGUGAAUUUAAUUAUGUGCACCAAUGACCCAGAAACUAAUGUGCCUGGGGCAUCAUACUUGCUCAAUAAAUAUUUUUACUUGAGUGAAAAACUCUAGAUA